AAUAGAUACCCUGGUAGUCCACGCCGUAAACGAUGUCGACUUGGAGGUUGUUCCCUUGAGGAGUGGCUUCCGGAGCUAACGCGUUAAGUCGACCGCCUGGGGAGUACGGCCGCAAGGUUAAAACUCAAAUGAAUUGACGGGGGCCCGCACAAGCGGUGGAGCAUGUGGUUUAAUUCGAUGCAACGCGAAGAACCUUACCUACUCUUGACAUCCACGGAACUUAGCAGAGAUGCUUUGGUGCCUUCGGGAACCGUGAGACAGGUGCUGCAUGGCUGUCGUCAGCUCGUGUUGUGAAAUGUUGGGUUAAGUCCCGCAACGAGCGCAACCCUUAUCCUUUGUUGCCAGCGGUUAGGCCGGGAACUCAAAGGAGACUGCCAGUGAUAAACUGGAGGAAGGUGGGGAUGACGUCAAGUCAUCAUGGCCCUUACGAGUAGGGCUACACACGUGCUACAAUGGCGCAUACAAAGAGAAGCGACCUCGCGAGAGCAAGCGGACCUCAUAAAGUGCGUCGUAGUCCGGAUUGGAGUCUGC
This 531-nucleotide ribosomal RNA is filed under the name uncultured bacterium. RNAcentral's name for it is "bacterial SSU rRNA". It matches the Rfam family "Bacterial small subunit ribosomal RNA", at positions 777 to 1308 of the family's 1533-position model. The record is from RNAcentral.